This 360-nucleotide long non-coding RNA is filed under the name Arachis ipaensis. RNAcentral's name for it is "long non-coding RNA (AIPA_LNC001061)". The record is from RNAcentral. Lineage: Eukaryota; Viridiplantae; Streptophyta; Magnoliopsida; Fabales; Fabaceae.
GUAAAUAAAUUUUUAUUUUAUUUUACCCUUACAUUUUAUUUACAGUGUAUUUGUAAUUGCUAAGAAUGAAGUUAAUUAAUUAAAUUGUAAACUAUUUUCUUUUAAUUUUGAUAAUGUAGAAAGUCAAAUACAAAUUAAAUUGUAUCCUCUUUGUUUUCGUUUGUUCUUUCUCUAUGACUAGAAAUUGGCGCUGAAUUUGCUGGUCAACCGUUAAAGAAUCCUCAGCUUUUAAGAGAGAGAAAGAAAAGAAAUCAAAGUAGUCUCUAUUUUCUUCUGUUCUGUGUCUUUUUCUUGGUGGCAGUUCUCUAGCUCUAUUCUAAUAUAUUGAAGUUUUACAGCAAAGACUUCAAAUUAUGGUUA